AAUUGAUUUAAUUAAAUUGCAAUCCAAUUGCAAUUAUUCCUUCUUCUACUCACUAACUCUUAGUAAGUUAAAACAAUUAUCAAUCAAAUUGAUAAUUAUAAAUUAUUUGUGAUUCCAAAUCAUAAUUCAACCAUCGGAUCGAUCAAUACCUCUAAUGUGUGUGACCCCAUAGGUUCUAUUCUGUCUGGUAGUGAGAUAUACUGCGAUCUCUAUCACAAUAUCAUUGAAAACUUCUUUCAAUGGGUUGGAACAAUUCCAACUCAACUCACCAGGGAUCAUCAAUCAUCAAGAUAGUCCCUGUGAGUCUCACCAUCCACCAGUGACACCUAACAGCAUGUAGUGGCUACCCAGCAGAAUGGAAUGAUGAACCUCUAGGUGCAGUUAUCGUAUGAUACAGUCCUUCUAUCGUGGAUCCCUACGGGACGGAGGUCAUGGAUAACUCGUCAGACCCCAUCGUCUGUCAUAUGUCAAGAUUUAUUCGACUUAAGUUCGAGAAUGGAAAACUCCUUUUCCACUGUACAUACUACCCCGGCCGAGGAUUUACGAACUCAGUCUCAUAAAUCACAUAGGAUCUCUCUUAACCUAUCAAGAUCGAUAGAUUCCAUCUAGAUGCACCCCUACUCCUACAAUGAACCUACUGCAGCCAAUUUGCACCACAAAAACCCAAUUGGCUAGGGCUCAUGUUUAUGUGCUCGUCAAACUACAACAACCUCACUGUGAAUAGCCGAGGCAUCGCAGGUCAAAGGACCAGUCAUACAACUGCAGCAUCAAGUAAGUCACUGACGAGUGGAUAGACAUCCAAGUGACUACUUGCUAUGGUCACGCUCAGCACUCUUGUUCUCUAACAAGUACUUGCACAAUUGCUCCAAUGUCGCCACACUGUGGACUCAAGACUCGUCCAUCAAAGAAAGCGAUCUGUGCACUAAUCUCAACGGAUCGAUCACCGUCCUCGUGAUGAUCCAUUGAUCAGGAGCAAUUUAGAAAUUAAUCACCAAUGACACAUGCCUCAAAUUCUCAACUCUUGAGAAUAUGCGUCAUUAUCUUAUUAAUUUCUUGGACGAUUCAUGGACACAUAAGAACAUGAAUGAAAAGAAUGCCCAACUUAAUAAAUUCAUAAUUAGGUCAAGUACAAAUUUAUGUCCGAGAAUAAAAUAAUGCGUCAGUCAAAUUGGCUUCUAGGGCAUACUUCUAACAAUCUUCCACUUGCACUAAAGCCAAUCAGCCAUAAACCUAAGCCCCAUCUUCUCAAGAUGUGCUUCAGUUUUCUGCUGACUUAUCUGCUUAGUGAAUGGGUCCACCACAUUUCCUGUGGAGUCUACUCUCUGAUCCUCUACUUAUUUCUUUUCUGGGUAGUCGCUUAUUUGGUUAAACCGCCGCUCUAUGUGCUUCGGCUUCUGGUGAGACCUUGGCUCUUUAGCUAGUGCUAUGGUGCCUUUGUUAUC
This 1442-nucleotide long non-coding RNA is filed under the name Phoenix dactylifera (date palm). Its description in RNAcentral is "long non-coding RNA (PDAC_LNC014031)". Lineage: Eukaryota; Viridiplantae; Streptophyta; Magnoliopsida; Arecales; Arecaceae. The record is from RNAcentral.